This 202-nucleotide long non-coding RNA is filed under the name Elaeis guineensis (African oil palm). RNAcentral describes it as "long non-coding RNA (EGUI_LNC047699)". Lineage: Eukaryota; Viridiplantae; Streptophyta; Magnoliopsida; Arecales; Arecaceae. The record is from RNAcentral.
GGAUGGCUCAAGGCCACCGGAAGGGUGAAUAGGAGCCGAGUCAUACGGUUCAGAUCUAGCUUCAACCCUCCAACAGCUUGUUGGUCUUUGACGUCCUCCUUUCAGACCUCGAUGAUCGAGACGUCAGAUGAUGUAUAUGUCGAGGAAGUUGUACAGAGAUUUUUUUGCCAGCAACCUCAAAGCUUCUUGGACAUCAUUUGCG